Molecule: ribosomal RNA, 465 nt
Filed under: uncultured bacterium
Lineage: Bacteria
Description: partial 16S ribosomal RNA
Rfam family: Bacterial small subunit ribosomal RNA
Source: RNAcentral
GACGAACGCUGGCGGCGUGCUUAACACAUGCCAGUCGAACGGAAAGGCCCAGCUUGCUGGGUCCUCGAGUGGUGACCGGGUGAGUAACACGUGGGUUAUCUGCCUUCCACUUUGGGAUAGGCCUGGGAACCUGGGUCUAAUUUCGGACAUGAUCUACUGUCGCAUGGUGGUUGGUGGCAAGCUUUUGCGGUUGUGGAUGGGUCCGCGGCUUCUCAGCUUGUUGGUGGGGUCAUGGCUUACCAAGGCGACGUCGGGUAGCCGACCUGUGAGGGUGAUCGGCCACACUGAGACGGAGACACGGCCCAGACUCCUACGGGAGGCAGCAGGGGGGAAUAUUGCACAAUGGGCGCGAGCCUGAUGCAGCGACCCCGCGUGAGGGAUGGCGGCCUUCGGGUUGGAAACCACUUUCUCCAGGGACGAAGCGUGAGUGACGUUACCUGAAGAAGAAGCACCGGCCAACUACGU